This 586-nucleotide ribosomal RNA is filed under the name uncultured bacterium. RNAcentral's name for it is "partial 16S ribosomal RNA". It matches the Rfam family "Bacterial small subunit ribosomal RNA", at positions 355 to 1375 of the family's 1533-position model. The record is from RNAcentral.
UGGGGAAUUUUGGACAAUGGGCGAAAGCCUGAUCCAGCAAUGCCGCGUGUGUGAAGAAGGCCUUCGGGUUGUAAAGCACUUUUGUCCGGAAAGAAAUCCUUGGCUCUAAUACAGUCGGGGGAUGACGGUACCGGAAGAAUAAGCACCGGCUAACUACGUGCCAGCAGCCGCGGUAAUACGUAGGGUGCAAGCGUUAAUCGGAAUUACUGGGCGUAAAGCGUGCGCAGGCGGUUUGCUAAGACCGAUGUGAAAUCCCCGGGCUCAACCUGGGAACUGCAUUGGUGACUGGCAGGCUAGAGUAUGGCAGAGGGGGGUAGAAUUCCACGUGUAGCAGUGAAAUGCGUAGAGAUGUGGAGGAAUACCGAUGGCGAAGGCAGCCCCUUGGGCCAAUACUGACGCUCAUGCACGAAAGCGUGGGGAGCAAACAGGAUUAGAUACCCUGGUAGUCCACGCCCUAAAACGAUGUCAACUAGUUGUUGGGAUUCAUUUCCUUAGUAACGUAGCUAACGCGUGAAGUUGACCGCCUGGGGAGUACGGUCGCAAGAUUAAAAACUCAAAGGAAUUGACGGGGUCAUAGCUGUUUCCU